Long non-coding RNA from Rhipicephalus sanguineus (brown dog tick), 286 nucleotides. RefSeq lists it as uncharacterized. Lineage: Eukaryota; Metazoa; Arthropoda; Arachnida; Ixodida; Ixodidae. The transcript has 3 exons. The record is from RefSeq and is a predicted model, not a curated record.
UUUCCCUUCAACGAAGGGGUCAAAUUCAUGGAAGCCACGUGCCUGCUGCUUCUGGCCUACACAAACAUGCAGCCACCAUAGUAAAGUUCUUGCAAAGACAUUCUACACGAACUUGCCCAAAGGUGGAAGGAAGGCACGCACAGAUGGACGCACAGAAAUCAUGGGGCUGCCGUAGAAGCUACGUACAGAAAGGAGCGAAGUGGAGCUGUCCAUGGGCCGUGCACACAGUUUCAUAAGCAGGCUUGCAACACUUUUGACAAAUAUGUUCCUAAAUACAUCUGCCAAA